CUUUCCUACGGGACGCAGCAGUGGGGAAUAUUGCACAAUGGGCGCAAGCCUGAUGCAGCCAUGCCGCGUGUAUGAAGAAGGCCUUCGGGUUGUAAAGUACUUUCAGCGGGGAGGAAGGCGUUGAGGCUAAUAACCUCAGCGAUUGACGUUACCCGCAGAAGAAGCACCGGCUAACUCCGUGCCAGCAGCCGCGGUAAUACGGAGGGUGCAAGCGUUAAUCGGAAUUACUGGGCGUAAAGCGCACGCAGGCGGUCUGUCAAGUCGGAUGUGAAAUCCCCGCGCUCAACCUGGGAACUGCAUUCGAA
This 305-nucleotide ribosomal RNA is filed under the name uncultured bacterium. RNAcentral's name for it is "bacterial SSU rRNA". It matches the Rfam family "Bacterial small subunit ribosomal RNA", at positions 334 to 631 of the family's 1533-position model. The record is from RNAcentral.